This 6577-nucleotide long non-coding RNA is filed under the name Homo sapiens (human). Its description in RNAcentral is "HSALNT0364402". Lineage: Eukaryota; Metazoa; Chordata; Mammalia; Primates; Hominidae. The record is from RNAcentral.
GGGCACCUGUAAUCCCAGCUACUCAGCAGGCUGAGGUUGCUAGGAGAAAUGAAUGAAAUGAUACAAGUAAGGUAGAAAGCAGAGUGCUUUCUACAAGCCAAGAAGUGGCCCCCCAACAGAUACCAAGCUCUGGACCUCCUGGUGCCUUGAUUUUGGACUUCCCAGCCUUUUUCAGACCUGUGAGAAAGGUCCGCCGCAUCUUGGAAGGAAACUUCAAAGCUCAUUUAAAGUCAGCCUCUCACAUAGCCCUGCUGGUCUAACUUUCUUCUGAAUGUGAUUUCAGAAGUAAAACCAGGCCAGGGGCUGGGACUCAGGUGAGUCUCACUGACCGUGACCUCUGGAGAGUCAACUGAAAUGGAGAGACAAAUACCAAGGAGAUAUCAGGAAGAAUAUUGUCCCCAGUAAAUACCAAGUCACAUCAGGAAGAAUAUUGUGGAGAGAGAGGUAAAGAAUCAGGAUGGAAACAGAAAAUAGGCCGAACAAUGGCCAAGCGUCAAAAUCCUACGUCAGGACAGUGCUAGGACUGCUUUUUUCUAUAUCAGACACGUGGGCUCCUGCUGUGUCUUCCUGGAAAGCAGAGGCCAAGGAUGGAGCAGACCAAGAGGAUGCCAGGAAAAAUCACAAAGAAGCCCAGAAAGCACAGCUGGAAGCCAAGAACCCUAUUUUUGGUUUGUGUGGGUGGAAGGUGAGGGACAACAUAUAGUGACCAACAGGAUUCUUCAUUUGAAAGAGAAUGGAGUACAUCAGACCUGUGUAUUUAGGUGAAGUAUGAUAAACAUCAUCAUACUUCAAAGAUUAUGAACAUCAAAGAUUAUGGAAAGGAACAUGACUGCUUAGUUUAUUCCAUUACCAGUGAUCUGCUUGUUUGUUCAUUUGCUUACCCAUCCAUUCAUUUAUUCAUUCAUUCCUCCAUCCAUUCUCUUUCACUUAUUCUACAAUCAUGAUUGUAUGCCUACCAUAUCGCUAGAGAGAGGGCAGGAAAAGAUCCAAGGAUGUGAAUACAAUCUUCUGCUUCAUGAUGAGAGCUAAAGGAAUCUGUAAAGACUUUGUCUUUUUCAUUUUUCUCUCUCCUACAUAGACCCUGGAAAAUGUUUUAUUUCUUAUAAUUUGCCUGAGGUUUACUCAUCCACUACCAGAGCUCUGAAAACACUCUUCAGAACACUAUUUUAAAAUAAUGACAAUGACAAUAAUAGAUAACAUAUAUUCAGUGUUUUUUGUAUGUGAAGCAAUGUAAUAACCAUUUAAAAUGAUUGUAACUAUACUUUAUAAGAGUAUGAUGAAACAGGCACUAUUAAAAUGCUAGUUUUUCACACAGCUAAUAUGAGAGAGAGCUGGGAUUUGGAGCCUCCAUUCAUGGCCAUUAUAUGGUCUGUCUAAUGAAUGAAAUGUUUGACCUUAGAGAAAACUUGAAAUGCAUAGUUUUCUUUGCUGACUUGAAUGAUAUAAGUUUAAAAAUCCGAUAGUGGUUGCUAGUUGAAAAUUCCUAUUCCUUGGGAAACUGUUGAAAGUCUGUUUAGUACUAACCCCCCUCAUUAAUGGCCAUUUGCAAAGCCAGGCCAAGUUUAGUCUUCUACCAGCACUGAAGAAACACAUUUUUACCCAGAAGAAAUGAGGGUGAAAUCCUCUGAUAACUGGAAGAUGCUGGAUGUUCUGGAAAGAAAAGUAAUUUUUUUUUCAAUCUCUGGAAAUUGCUUUUUUUGUUUUAAGUAAGGGUGGCUCAGUAGAUGCUAACAGAGAAGCUGGGAUCAGCUAAUCUGGAGAAGAUUCUGAGAGAAUGAGUUGGGGAAGCUCACACUGAGAAAAUGAGAAGAUUGGUAGGAAGGGCGGUUUCUUGCUGUGUCCAAGAACAGGAAUUGAGAAAUGGUAUUAAGCUGAAGGUGAGAGGGGAACAAAGAAGACUUUGAAAGUUGCAUACAGGUUUGAAACAAAGUAUACCACAAGGAAUGGGAACAUGUAGAGCUGUUUUAAAAAUGUUUCUGUGUUUGUGUGAGUGUGUGUACUAGAUAUAUUUUUAAAAUGACUUUUCUCGGAAUUACAUCAUACUUUGAAGAUCAGCAUAGGAAGUGAAGAAGGAACAAAUAUUCACUGAGAGCAUUCACUAAGGGCCAGGAGCUCCCUGAAUACCACAUAUGCCACCGCUCUCUCUUGUGAUCCUGAAGGUCUGUGAGGCAGUUAUCACUAUGUAUGGUAUAUUUUCAAAGAAAGCAAAUAAAACCCAAUGUGACUAAGAAAGAUGCUAAAGUCAUACAGCUAAUUAGCUGUGGGUCCAGGAUUCAAACCAGUGCACCCAGCACAUGGUCUUCAAUAAAUAUUUAUUGAGCAGUGAAUACAUGAAUGAGUAAAUAAGAUGAAGCAAGCAAGCAAGCAGGUAGGCUUGUCUAACCCAAGUGUUCAUGUUCUAUCCUCUGUACUGGUGGUUUUUAAAUUGUGUGCCACAAAGGCCUUGGGUAACAUGAGGAGGGUUAGUAUGAGUGGCUGUCUAGCAGCAUGGGGCCCCAGGCUCCCUAUCUCUACUCCAACCAGGGCAUCUCUGCUUCUGUUUGUGUUAAACAUUGGGCUUUUGCCUGAGGUUUCAUUUGAAGAAGAGGGCCUUCUUCUAGAAAGUGUUUAUUACUCCUGCCCCAUGCCGUGUUCCCUCCUAAGUAUGCAUUAUGAACUAGUUAAGUUUAAUAAAGACAUAUAUUACUGUAAAGUUGGAAUUUAUACCAGUGUCUGAAUUCCAGUAGCAGCCCCCAUAUCUUGGUAAUCGAAAGCCAACUGUUUCUAAUAUCCGGCAUGCUGCUGAGGCCAUUAACAAUAGAUGAGCCAUCUAGGGCAUUAUGGCUAGCAGCCGGGACUACAACUUCAAGCUGUCUAGGUUCAACUGUGGCUCUGCCAUGACCUGGUGAAAUCUCAGGUAAAUGAUUCGACCUCUCCACACUUUAGCUUCCUCAUCCAUGAAAUGUGAUAGCUACCUUAUACAGCAUGGAAACUUUGUGCUCCAGUAAUAUGAAUGGGCUCACUAUAGCCAAGUGCACUUAGUUCCCUUGAUCUCACGUUUUUGUUUAUGCUGGCUCCCAACUUAAUGUGGUCUUCUCACUUUUCAUCUGACUGUGAAAACUCCAACCAAAGGUACUUAUAUUCCUCCCACUCAAUAAAUAUGAUGGCCUUGGUGUCAGUAAGGCGACAUGUGAAGAGAGAUAUCAGUCUGGCUUGCCAUACAUUACAAGAAUUUGCAGGCUUACCCUGACAGUCCUAGUCCAUGGGAGUGGGUGAUGGGGUACUAUUGUGUCACUGUCCGGGGUCCUGAAUAAUUAAAGAGUGCACAGUGGCUUUUACAAGAAUACUAAGAAUUAUUUAUUUGUUAAGGUAACACUAUCUGCUGUAGUAGGUAACCCUCUCUACCCCCAAAUCUGAGUAGCUUACCAUAUUAGAAGUCUUUUCCUGUUCUCAUAGGGUUCCAUUGGUGCUGGGGGUGAGGAGGGGAGGUGGUAAAGGGGUUUGUUCCACACAACCAUUCAGAGAUUCAUAUUGAUGAAGACGGCCAUCUUCAACAUAUAGUUUCCAGAGUUGUUCUGGGCUCAGUAUUUAGACUCCAGGUGGUAUAUCAGAGGAGAGAAGGAGAGUAGAGAACUGUGUGGCAGAUUUUUAUGAACCAGAUCUAGAAGGGACAUUCAUCACUGUCACUGGGAUGCUGUUAAUUAAAACUCGAGCAUACAACCAUUCCUAAGAAUAAAAGAGGCAGUGGGAUGUUGCUUAUUUGUGAGUUCAUUGGAAAAUCACUAGCUUGUUUUUGCCACAAAAUAUUUUUUAUGUUGUUACCCAAUACCCCCCCCCACUGAGACACACACACACACUCAACACAAAUACAACUAGAGCAAAAAAUUCAUUAAAUAAUCCUCUGUGUGUGAUAUAGUCUCAUAGUUUCUAUUCUAUUUUAUUGUUUUAAAGUGCUGUCAUGACCCAUUAAACUGUUAUUAUGGCUGAAUGAGUUUUGACUUAUUGUUUGGAAAACACUGCCCUAAGGUAUAACUGUUUCUCGUAAUCUUAGACAGUGAGAUAUUGCUAAUGAGGAGGAAAACUUCUCUUUUAAAAUCAUUUUCAAAUAAUUGCCAUUUCUAAUAAAUAAUUCGUAAUCAUCCGUGGGUAGAAUAUUAAAAUAAAGUUGUUAAGAAAUGGAAUAUUAAUUAAUAGAAAACCAGGAAGACUUCAGUCCAAUAUGGACAAGCAAGAUCUGCUGGCAAACGAGGAAAAUUGUGUAGGGAUUUGAGACAGGCCAAAUAAAUAGCAUUACUUUUUUCCCAUCUGAGUUUGGAACCACUGAGAAAUAGAGAAGAAAAAGCAGAUGGGCAUUCAAAUACUGGCUUUAUUACUGAUAAAGUUAAUAAUGAAAAAUAUGGCUUCCUAAUCCUAAACCUCAAACAGAGCUUACCUGCCCAGCCACAGGCAGUGCUAAGCAACUUCAGGCCUCCUGAUUGCAGCCUGCCCCUGAAAAACUUACAGUAUGAAGGAGCAAACAGGAAUGAUGAGUAGACCCCCCAAAAUAAGAGGCCAGUACUGACCACACUUUGACAGCCCCUCAUCCCAUAAUCACAAUUUAGAUCACUCCUCCUCCCCCUAAGGAGUUUGAAUGCGAGGGUGGGGAAGUGUGACGGAUGCCUCUCACAAGAAGCCAAGGGAGAGAAAGCUCUCCCCCAUAAACACCACCAGGCAGAGAUGGCAUGACAGCAAUGUCAUUAUCAAAUGAAGCCUAUCAAAGUGCUAUUCACUUUUCUCUGCUAUUUUCUAGAAAGACAAUACAUUUGCAAUUUUUAGACCAUCUUAAGCAAAUGGAACAAUGAUUUUUCAAAACUCACAUAUCUGAUUCCAUAGGCUUUUGUGGUUCUAUGCUAUUUCCGAGAAUGGGACAUGUCAUUCCUUCAGGAAGAUAAGUAGCGUACAUGCCACAUUCCCUCCCCUAACCCAGGUGCUGUAUUUAUGCCUUUCUGUUUUAGUUAUGGUUUAGGAUUUUUAGUUUAGGGUUUCUCAUAAUCUACUGGCUUACAAUGAUAUCUCACAGCUUCUACUAACCCAAGCAAUUCUUACGUUGGUAUCUGUGGGCAUCGAGUUUCUUCUUAUCUAACUCUGCCUCUUAAUGUUCCCAGCACAGCGUUUUGUACAUAAUAGAUUCUGGAACAGUCUUCCCUCAGAUCAUCACAGAACAGGGUUCCUCUCAUGAUUAAGCUCAAAUAUCACCUCCCCAGAGAGUCCUUUCUUGACCACCCAAAUGGAAGUAGCUGCAACCCCCAAAAUUAUGGCAUCAAUACUUUUAUAUGCUCAUAGCAUAUCAUAAUCUUUUUUCUUUUUACUUAUUUGCUUGUUUAUUUUCUGGCUCUUCCCACUAGAAUAUACAUGCAAUAGGAGCAGGUACUUUGCCUGUUAAUCCCCCUCUUUUACUCUCAGUGCCUACAGCAAUACCUGGCUCAUGGAUAAAAUUUAUACAAUUUUAAAAUGAAUGAAUAAAUGCAUAAUAAAAUUGAAAUUGGCAUUUCCCCAACUUUUACCCCCUUCUGGAUAGAGAGGGAAUGUUAGGUGAGGACUCAUGAGAGGCUAGUUAGACAGAGGGAGAGAAGAAAAACUUGGCAAAUGCUGGGUGUUUGCCUCAAAAAUCUCUGUUAGUUUUGGCAGCUACUCAAAGAAAGACACAGCACAGUGGCCCUGCAGCACUUGACUUUUCUGUAAUAGCUCUUCAGUAAUAAGAAGAAAACAACAUGCUUGUUAUUUAGCAGGCAAUUCUUUAGGUCAGAGAGAAACAACCCUACAUCAUUCUUAUUCCAAAAAGACCUGGCUGGGCAGGAGAGGAGGCCCCAAGGUCUGUGGGGCUCUGAAAAGCUACCCUUUUCAAGCGAUUUUGCCUAAAAUAUUUAGCAGGCAAUUAUUUAGGUCAGAGAGAAUCAACCCUACAUCAUUCUUAUUCCAAAAAGACCUGGCUGGGCAGGAGAAGAGGCCCCAAGGUCUGUGGGGUUCUGACAAGCUGCCCUUUUCAAGCAAUUUUGCCUGAUUCAGCAUAGGGAGUCCAGUUUAUAAAGUUGAUGAAUGAGGUUUGUUUAAAAAAAGAGUCAUGCCCUUAUCUAUAUAGCAGGGAAGCCCAUUCCCAGUAGACCUGAAUUCAGCUUAUAAGCUUGCCUGGGCUAGCUUAUGUGGCAAGUGAUGCAGAAAGAGCUUCAGUGAUGGAAUAUUUGCCACCUCUCCCACACCUCCACCCACUGGGUAAAGUUCUGUUCUGCUGGUUGACCCUGGGACAUUAUUAUUCAGAUUAGGAUGAUGAAUAGUGAGAAUGACAAGAGAAACUGGAUGGACAUAAUGUAUUUACCUCUAAGCUUGCAGAGAGUUAUAGGAAAAGGGAUAAACAACAACAACCAAAAAAUAAAAUAAAAUAAAAUAAAAUUUAAAAACCCUGUACAGGUUGUGUUUAUGAGUUUGGGAGACUUCAGAAUGAGGAAGGAGAGAAAGUAAAAGAGAAGAUGCCAUACAGGUUAGAGAGAAAAGGCAAGUUUAUAACUUGUUUUCUAAACAUUUGUUUCAUCAAGAUAUUGCAUAAAGUUUAAACUAUUUUAAU